Molecule: ribosomal RNA, 484 nt
Filed under: uncultured bacterium
Lineage: Bacteria
Description: partial 16S ribosomal RNA
Rfam family: Bacterial small subunit ribosomal RNA
Source: RNAcentral
AUUGAACGCUGGCGGCAGGCCUAACACAUGCAAGUCGAGCGGAUGAAGGGAGCUUGCUCCUGGAUUCAGCGGCGGACGGGUGAGUAAUGCCUAGGAAUCUGCCUGGUAGUGGGGGAUAACGUCCGGAAACGGGCGCUAAUACCGCAUACGUCCUGAGGGAGAAAGUGGGGGAUCUUCGGACCUCACGCUAUCAGAUGAGCCUAGGUCGGAUUAGCUAGUUGGUGGGGUAAAGGCCUACCAAGGCGACGAUCCGUAACUGGUCUGAGAGGAUGAUCAGUCACACUGGAACUGAGACACGGUCCAGACUCCUACGGGAGGCAGCAGUGGGGAAUAUUGGACAAUGGGCGAAAGCCUGAUCCAGCCAUGCCACGUGUGUGAAGAAGGUCUUCGGAUUGUAAAGCACUUUAAGUUGGGAGGAAGGGCAGUAAGUUUAUACCUUGCUGUUUUGACGUUACCAACAGAAUAAGCACCGGCUAACUUCGUG